This 492-nucleotide ribosomal RNA is filed under the name uncultured bacterium. RNAcentral's name for it is "partial 16S ribosomal RNA". It matches the Rfam family "Bacterial small subunit ribosomal RNA", at positions 36 to 507 of the family's 1533-position model. The record is from RNAcentral.
AUUGCCCUCUUUCUUUAGGCCUAACACAUGCAAGUCGAACGGCAGCACAGUAAGAGCUUGCUCUUACGGGUGGCGAGUGGCGGACGGGUGAGGAAUACAUCGGAAUCUACUUUUUCGUGGGGGAUAACGUAGGGAAACUUACGCUAAUACCGCAUACGACCUACGGGUGAAAGCAGGGGAUCUUCGGACCUUGCGCGAUUGAAUGAGCCGAUGUCGGAUUAGCUAGUUGGCGGGGUAAAGGCCCACCAAGGCGACGAUCCGUAGCUGGUCUGAGAGGAUGAUCAGCCACACUGGAACUAAGACACGGUCCAGACUCCUACGGGAGGCAGCAGUGGGGAAUAUUGGACAAUGGGCGCAAGCCUGAUCCAGCCAUACCGCGUGGGUGAAGAAGGCCUUCGGGUUGUAAAGCACUUUUGUUGGGAAAGAAAAGCAGCAGGUUAAUACCCCGCUGUUCUGACGGUACCCAAAGAAUAAGCACCGGCUAACUUCGUG